GGACCCGCACAAGUAGUGGAGCAUGUGGUUUAAUUCGAAGAUACGCGCAGAACCUUACCAACACUUGACAUGUUCGUCGCGACUUUAAGAGAUUAAAGUUUUCGGUUCGGCCGGACGAAACACAGGUGCUGCAUGGCUGUCGUCAGCUCGUGUCGUGAGAUGUUGGGUUAAGUCCCGCAACGAGCGCAACCCUCACUUUUAGUUGCCAUCAUUUAGUUGGGCACUCUGAAAGAACUGCCAGUGAUAAGCUGGAGGAAGGUGGGGAUGACGUCAAGUCCUCAUGGCCCUUACGUGUUGGGCUACACACGUGCUACAAUGAUAUCUACAACAGGAAGCAAAACGGCGACGUUAAGCAAAUCCUUAAAAGAUAUCUCAGUUCGGAUUGCACUCUGCAACUCGAGUGCAUGAAGCUGGAAUUACUAGUAAUCG
This 429-nucleotide ribosomal RNA is filed under the name uncultured bacterium. Its description in RNAcentral is "bacterial SSU rRNA". It matches the Rfam family "Bacterial small subunit ribosomal RNA", at positions 917 to 1344 of the family's 1533-position model. The record is from RNAcentral.